Molecule: ribosomal RNA, 460 nt
Filed under: uncultured bacterium
Lineage: Bacteria
Description: partial 16S ribosomal RNA
Rfam family: Bacterial small subunit ribosomal RNA
Source: RNAcentral
CCUACGGGAGGCAGCAGUGAGGAAUAUUGGUCAAUGGACGGAAGCCUGAACCAGCCAAGCCGCGUGCAGGAUGACGGUCCUAUGGGUUGUAAACCUCUUUUGUACGGGAAUAAAGCUGAGUACGUGUACCCCGCUGCAUGUACCGUACGAAUAAGGAUCGGCUAACUCCGUGCCAGCAGCCGCGGUAAUACGGAGGAUCCGAGCGUUAUCCGGAUUUAUUGGGUUUAAAGGGUGCGUAGGCGGAUUGUUAAGUGAGCGGGGAAAUGUCCGGGCUUAACCCGGGACCUGCCGUGGAAACUGGCGUGCUCGAGUGUGAGAGAGGUAGGCGGAAUGCGUGGUGUAGCGGUGAAAUGCUUAGAGAUCACGCAGAACUCCGAUUGCGAAGGCAGCUUGCCGGCGCCUAACUGACGCUGAGGCACGAAAGCGUGGGUAUCGAACAGGAUUAGAUACCCGAGUAGUC